AAUACCGCAUACGAUCUACGGAUGAAAGCGGGGGAUCGCAAGACCUCGCGCGAAUGGAGCGGCCGAUGUCAGAUUAGGUAGUUGGUGGGGUAAAGGCUCACCAAGCCAACGAUCUGUAGCUGGUCUGAGAGGACGACCAGCCACACUGGAACUGAGACACGGUCCAGACUCCUACGGGAGGCAGCAGUGGGGAAUUUUGGACAAUGGGCGCAAGCCUGAUCCAGCCAUUCCGCGUGCAGGAUGAAGGCUUCGGGUUGUAAACUGCUUUUGUACGGAACGAAACGGCGAGCUCUAAUACAGUUUGCUAAUGACGGUACCGUAAGAAUAAGCACCGGCUAACUACGUG
Molecule: ribosomal RNA, 346 nt
Filed under: uncultured bacterium
Lineage: Bacteria
Description: bacterial SSU rRNA
Rfam family: Bacterial small subunit ribosomal RNA
Source: RNAcentral